GUCAUGGAGGACUAGUAGUUAGGCCACAGCGCUCUCAACAUUGCAGGCCGGGUUCGAUUCCCGGCCAGGGAU
Molecule: non-coding RNA, 72 nt
Organism: Pangasianodon gigas (Mekong giant catfish)
Lineage: Eukaryota; Metazoa; Chordata; Actinopteri; Siluriformes; Pangasiidae
Source: the annotation of a GenBank genome assembly